This 253-nucleotide ribosomal RNA is filed under the name uncultured bacterium. RNAcentral's name for it is "partial 16S ribosomal RNA". It matches the Rfam family "Bacterial small subunit ribosomal RNA", at positions 524 to 776 of the family's 1533-position model. The record is from RNAcentral.
UACAGAGGUCUCAAGCGUUGUUCGGAUUCAUUGGGCGUAAAGGGUGCGUAGGCGGCGCGGUAAGUCGGGUGUGAAAUCUCGGAGCUUAACUCCGAAACUGCAUUCGAUACUGCCGUGCUUGAGGACUGGAGAGGAGACUGGAAUUUACGGUGUAGCGGUGAAAUGCGUAGAUAUCGUAAGGAAGACCAGUGGCGAAGGCGGGUCUCUGGACAGUUCCUGACGCUGAGGCGCGAAAGCGUGGGGAGCGAACAGG